UCGUCGACCUGCUGCGGGCAGAUGAAAUGGAUGUGCGCAUCGAUCGCACCGGCGGUCAGGAUCUUGCCCUCGCCGGCAAUCACUUCGGUGCCGGGCCCGAUGACGAUGGUCACGCCGCUCUGCACGUCGGGAUUGCCGGCCUUGCCGAUCGCAACGAUGCGCCCGCCGCGGAUGCCGACAUCGGCCUUGACCACACCCCAGUGAUCAAGAAUCACUGCAUUGGUGAUCACCGUAUCGACGGUGCCUUGCGCACGCGUACGCUGGCUCUGCCCCAUGCCGUCGCGU
RNAcentral lists this small RNA (285 nucleotides) under Hydrocarboniphaga daqingensis. RNAcentral's name for it is "5' ureB small RNA". It matches the Rfam family "5' ureB small RNA". Lineage: Bacteria; Pseudomonadati; Pseudomonadota; Gammaproteobacteria; Nevskiales; Nevskiaceae. The record is from Rfam by way of RNAcentral.